Rattus norvegicus (Norway rat) is the source of this 81-nucleotide non-coding RNA. The record is from Rfam. Lineage: Eukaryota; Metazoa; Chordata; Mammalia; Rodentia; Muridae.
CUCCAUGGAACAUUCAACGCUGUCGGUGAGUUUGGGAUUCAAAAACAAAAAAAACCACCAACCGUUGACUGUACCUUGGGA